This 440-nucleotide ribosomal RNA is filed under the name uncultured bacterium. Its description in RNAcentral is "partial 16S ribosomal RNA". It matches the Rfam family "Bacterial small subunit ribosomal RNA", at positions 338 to 795 of the family's 1533-position model. The record is from RNAcentral.
CCUACGGGGGGCUGCAGUAGGGAAUAUUGCUCAAUGGGGGAAACCCUGAAGCAGCAACGCCGCGUGGAGGAUGAAGGUUUUAGGAUUGUAAACUCCUUUUGUUAGAGAAGAUUAUGACGGUAUCUAACGAAUAAGCACCGGCUAACUCCGUGCCAGCAGCCGCGGUAAUACGGAGGGUGCAAGCGUUACUCGGAAUCACUGGGCGUAAAGAGUGCGUAGGCGGGGUAAUAAGUCAGAUGUGAAAUCCUGUAGCUUAACUACAGAACUGCAUUUGAAACUGUUACUCUGGAGUGUGGGAGAGGUAGGUGGAAUUCUUGGUGUAGGGGUAAAAUGCGUAGAGAUCAAGAGGAAUACUCAUGGCGAAGGCGACCUGCUGGAACAUUACUGACGCUGAUGCACGAAAGCGUGGGGAGCAAACAGGAUUAGAUACCCUUGUAGUC